UGGGGAAUUUUGGACAAUGGGGGAAACCCUGAUCCAGCCAUCCCGCGUGUGCGAUGAAGGCCUUCGGGUUGUAAAGCACUUUUGGCAGGAAAGAAACGUCAUGGGUUAAUACCCCGUGAAACUGACGGUACCUGCAGAAUAAGCACCGGCUAACUACGUGCCAGCAGCCGCGGUAAUACGUAGGGUGCAAGCGUUAAUCGGAAUUACUGGGCGUAAAGCGUGCGCAGGCGGUUCGGAAAGAAAGAUGUGAAAUCCCAGAGCUCAACUUUGGAACUGCAUUUUUAACUACCGGGCUAGAGUGUGUCAGAGGGAGGUGGAAUUCCGCGUGUAGCAGUGAAAUGCGUAGAUAUGCGGAGGAAAACCGAUGGCGAAGGCAGCCUCCUGGGAUAACACUGACGAUCAUGCACGAAAGCGUGGGGAGCAAACAGG
This 429-nucleotide ribosomal RNA is filed under the name Acidobacteriota bacterium. Its description in RNAcentral is "Acidobacteria bacterium partial 16S ribosomal RNA". It matches the Rfam family "Bacterial small subunit ribosomal RNA", at positions 355 to 776 of the family's 1533-position model. Lineage: Bacteria; Pseudomonadati; Acidobacteriota. The record is from RNAcentral.